This is a long non-coding RNA of Ctenocephalides felis (cat flea), 826 nucleotides long. RefSeq lists it as uncharacterized. The transcript has 6 exons. NCBI's taxonomy places the organism in Eukaryota, Metazoa, Arthropoda, Insecta, Siphonaptera, Pulicidae. The record is from RefSeq and is a predicted model, not a curated record.
UAAUAAUGUGGUCGUUUGAAUCAUUUGAGAUUAUGCAAUGUGGAUUUGACAUAUUACAUUAAAUUUUAAUUUUCACUGUUUGAAAUUCAUGUUAAUGCAUUUCAUAUAAAACCAAGUGCAAUUCUUAAACUGCUAGUAAAUUUCUACAUUCUAUUUCUGGUCAUCAAGAUGAAAUCACAUGGAGGCCACAAAAUAUCAUAUCAAGCAAAUUGUUGAGAAUCGAAUGGCCAAGUAUCGAGUGAAAAUUGACCACUGACUCACUUCACCGGGAAUCGCUCUGAAAAUAAUUCAAAAAGUUCUUUCGACUACUGCUGCUCUGUACACUGACCCCUUCACCAAGAAUCGCUCUGAAAAUAAUUUAAAAAGUCCUUUCAACUACUGCUGCUCUGCACACUGACCCCUUCACCAGGAAUCGCUCUGAAAAUAAUUUAAAAAGUACUUUCAACCACUGCUGCUCUGCACGCUGACUCACUUCACCAGGAAUCUUUCCAGAAACAUGUUACCAGAUCUUCUCGAUCCAACUAUUACUGCCCUGAAGCCUUAAAAUCAUUCACGUGAAUGACUCGCAAGUGGUUUUUUUCAAUGACUGUCUAUAAUUAUGCAUGAUUAACUUAACUCUUAUUAACUCAAUAACAUGACUAACCUCACUAACUUAAUUAGGCAGUUAAUAUAAAAACCACUUGUUGAGUUUUACUAUGAAGGUCUUAAUGGGGUUACGUGGAAGACACCGCUGCAUGAUUAAUCAGGGUAACCAACUUCAAGCCAAGUGCUCUUCAACGCUCAAGUUGCUCAUGAGUGAGAACAAUCAUUUGAUCUACUAAUUAUG